RNAcentral lists this ribosomal RNA (1347 nucleotides) under metagenome. RNAcentral's name for it is "bacterial LSU rRNA". It matches the Rfam family "Bacterial large subunit ribosomal RNA", at positions 1539 to 2862 of the family's 2925-position model. The record is from RNAcentral.
AAUCCGGGGUUUCAAGGCCGAGAGCUGAUGACGAGUCGUCUUUUAGAUGACGAAGUGGUUGAUGCCAUGCUUCCAAGAAAAGCUUCUAAGCUUCAGGUAACCAGGAACCGUACCCCAAACCGACGCAGGUGGUCGGGUAGAGAAUACCAAGGCGCUUGAGAGAACUCGGGUGAAGGAACUAGGCAAAAUGGCACCGUAACUUCGGGAGAAGGUGCGCCGGCUAGGGUGAAGGAUUUACUCCGUAGGCUCUGGCUGGUCGAGGAUACCAGGCCGCUGCGACUGUUUAUUAAAAACACAGCACUCUGCAAACACGAAAGUGGACGUAUAGGGUGUGACGCCUGCCCGGUGCCGGAAGGUUAAUUGAUGGGGUUAGCGCAAGCGAAGCUCUUGAUCGAAGCCCCGGUAAACGGCGGCCGUAACGAUAACGGUCCUAAGGUAGCGAAAUUCCUUGUCGGGUAAGUUCCGACCUGCACGAAUGGCGUAACGAUGGCGGCGCUGUCUCCACCCGAGACUCAGUGAAAUUGAAAUCGCUGUGAAGAUGCAGUGUAUCCGCGGCUAGACGGAAAGACCCCGUGAACCUUUACUGUAGCUUUGCACUGGACUUUGAGCCUGCUUGUGUAGGAUAGGUGGGAGGCUUUGAAGCGUGGACGCCAGUUCGCGUGGAGCCAUCCUUGAAAUACCACCCUGGCAUGCUUGAGGUUCUAACUCUGGUCCGUAAUCCGGAUCGAGGACAGUGUAUGGUGGGCAGUUUGACUGGGGCGGUCUCCUCCUAAAGAGUAACGGAGGAGUACGAAGGUGCGCUCAGACCGGUCGGAAAUCGGUCGCAGAGUAUAAAGGCAAAAGCGCGCUUGACUGCGAGACAGACACGUCGAGCAGGUACGAAAGUAGGUCUUAGUGAUCCGGUGGUUCUGUAUGGAAGGGCCAUCGCUCAACGGAUAAAAGGUACUCCGGGGAUAACAGGCUGAUACCGCCCAAGAGUUCAUAUCGACGGCGGUGUUUGGCACCUCGAUGUCGGCUCAUCACAUCCUGGGGCUGAAGCCGGUCCCAAGGGUAUGGCUGUUCGCCAUUUAAAGUGGUACGCGAGCUGGGUUUAGAACGUCGUGAGACAGUUCGGUCCCUAUCUGCCGUGGACGUUUGAGAUUUGAGAGGGGCUGCUCCUAGUACGAGAGGACCGGAGUGGACGAACCUCUGGUGUUCCGGUUGUCACGCCAGUGGCAUUGCCGGGUAGCUAUGAUCGGAAAAGAUAACCGCUGAAAGCAUCUAAGCGGGAAACUUGCCUCAAGAUGAGAUCUCACUGGGAACUUGAUUCCCCUGAAGGGCCGUCGAAGACUACGACGUUGAUAGGCU